Molecule: unclassified non-coding RNA, 308 nt
Filed under: Hevea brasiliensis (rubber tree)
Lineage: Eukaryota; Viridiplantae; Streptophyta; Magnoliopsida; Malpighiales; Euphorbiaceae
Source: RNAcentral
AUGGAAGUUGAUCUUGAGUUCUAUAGAGAACUAGGAUUUGCAUCCGCUAACUUCCAAAAGGUCUCUUUCUUUCCUCCAUCAAAUUUUGGCCUAGAUGUGCAAAGCAAAAUUAUCCCCACACCUUGCAGAGGUCCCAAUUGUGCUACAACCUCAAUUUAUUUUACUAGACUUGUGUGGGAUAUUCCAAUUUCAAAAUAAUAAUAAAAUGAUAAAAGAAUACUUAUAAAUUAAAAUUACAACAAAAUUUAGCAUGCCAUUAACAUCAAGACUAGAUAUUGAAUUUCUUGUGUACCAUUUGAAGGGUUUUA